CUACGGGUGGCUGCAGUGAGGAAUAUUGCACAAUGAGGGGAACCCUGAUGCAGCAACGCCGCGUGGAGGAUGACGCAUUUCGGUGUGUAAACUCCUUUUAUAUGUCAAGAAAAUGACGGUAGCAUAUGAAUAAGCACCGGCUAACUCCGUGCCAGCAGCCGCGGUAAUACGGAGGGUGCAAGCGUUACUCGGAAUCACUGGGCGUAAAGGACGCGUAGGCGGGUUGGAAAGUCAGGUGUGAAAUCCUACAGCUUAACUGUAGAACUGCACUUGAAACUUCUAAUCUAGAGUAUGGGAGGGGGAGAUGGAAUUAGUGGUGUAGGGGUAAAAUCCGUAGAUAUCACUAGGAAUACCUAAAGCGAAGGCGAUCUCCUGGAACAUUACUGACGCUAAGGCGUGAAGGCGUGGGGAGCAAACAGGAUUAGAUGCCCCGGUAGUC
This 439-nucleotide ribosomal RNA is filed under the name uncultured bacterium. RNAcentral describes it as "partial 16S ribosomal RNA". It matches the Rfam family "Bacterial small subunit ribosomal RNA", at positions 339 to 795 of the family's 1533-position model. The record is from RNAcentral.